GGAAUGAGAUAGGGGCCCCUGGAUGGCUGAGUCAGUUGGCCUCUUCUGACCUCCUCUCAGGGUCAUGAUCU
RNAcentral lists this microRNA precursor (71 nucleotides) under Vulpes vulpes (red fox). RNAcentral describes it as "miRNA (ENSVVUG00000002614.1)". Lineage: Eukaryota; Metazoa; Chordata; Mammalia; Carnivora; Canidae. The record is from RNAcentral.